GAUGAACGCUGGCGGCGUGCCUAAUACAUGCAAGUCGAGCGCGAGAGUGAGGAGCUUGCUCCUCAUAAUCGAGCGGCGGACGGGUGAGUAACACGUAGGCAACCUACCCUUGAGAUUGGGAUAACUACCGGAAACGGUAGCUAAUACCGGAUACGACUUUUCCACACAAGUGGAAUGGUUAAAAGGCGGAUUUAUCUGCCGCUCAUGGAUGGGCCUGCGGUGUAUUAGCUAGUUGGUGAGGUAGUGGCUCACCAAGGCGACGAUGCAUAGCCGACCUGAGAGGGUGAUCGGCCACACUGGGACUGAGACACGGCCCAGACUCCUACGGGAGGCAGCAGUAGGGGAUCUUCCGCAAUGGACGCAAGUCUGACGGAGCAACGCCGCGUGAGUGAUGAAGGGUUUCGGCUCGUAAAACUCUGUUGUUGAGGAAGAACACUUGAGGUAGUAACUGGCCUUGAGAUGACGGUACUUAACCAGAAAGCCACGGCUAACUACGUGCCAGCCGCCGCCGUAA
This 514-nucleotide ribosomal RNA is filed under the name uncultured bacterium. RNAcentral's name for it is "partial 16S ribosomal RNA". It matches the Rfam family "Bacterial small subunit ribosomal RNA", at positions 28 to 523 of the family's 1533-position model. The record is from RNAcentral.